AAGGUUUCCGUAGGUGAACCUGCGGAAGGAUCAUUAUUGAAUGAACUUGGUGUGGUUGUCGCUGGCCCUCUUGGGGGCAUGUGCACACCUACCAUUCUCAUCUCUCCACCUGUGCACCUCUUGUAGAUUUGGAAUUGAUUAUCCGAGGCAACUCGGUCGUGAGGACUGCUAGCACUUAGCCGGCUGUCUUUGCAAUUCCAGGUCUAUGUUUUUCAUAUACCCCAUUGUAUGUAACAGAAUGUAUCAUUGGGCCCUUGUGCCUAUAAACCUUAUACAACUUUCAGCAACGGAUCUCUUGGCUCUCGCAUCGAUGAAGAACGCAGCGAAAUGCGAUAAGUAAUGUGAAUUGCAGAAUUCAGUGAAUCAUCGAAUCUUUGAACGCACCUUGCGCUCCUUGGUAUUCCGAGGAGCAUGCCUGUUUGAGUGUCAUUAAAUUCUCAACCAUUAUCAACUUUUGCUGAUAAUGGCUUGGAUGUGGGGGUCUAUUUUGCUGGCUUCUCAGAUAGUCAGCUCCCCUUAAAUGCAUUAGCCGGUGCCCCGCGUGGACUGUCUAUUGGUGUGAUAAUUAUCUACGCUAUAGACAUCCGCAAUCAUAUGGGUUUGCGCUGCUUCUAACAGUCUGUUGAUUCAGACAAUACAUGACAAUUUGACCUCAAAUCAGGUAGGACUACCCGCUGAACUUAA
RNAcentral lists this ribosomal RNA (684 nucleotides) under Hebeloma aanenii. RNAcentral describes it as "eukaryotic LSU rRNA". The stretch from base 276 to 429 matches the Rfam family "5.8S ribosomal RNA". Lineage: Eukaryota; Fungi; Basidiomycota; Agaricomycetes; Agaricales; Hymenogastraceae. The record is from RNAcentral.